GCAAGUCGUGCGAGCAAGUAUCUUCGGAUAUGAGUAGAGCGGCGGACGGGUGAGUAACGCGUAGGAAUCUACCUAGUAGAAGGGGAUAGCUCGAGGUAACUCGGAUUAAUACCGUAUACCUCCUUCGGGUGAAAGAAGGCCUCUCAUUGAAGCUUUCGCUACUAGAUGAGCCUGCGUAAGAUUAGCUUGUUGGUGAGGUAAAGGCUCACCAAGGCAACGAUCUUUAGCGGGUCUGAGAGGACGAUC
RNAcentral lists this ribosomal RNA (246 nucleotides) under uncultured bacterium. RNAcentral's name for it is "partial 16S ribosomal RNA". It matches the Rfam family "Bacterial small subunit ribosomal RNA", at positions 57 to 305 of the family's 1533-position model. The record is from RNAcentral.